Molecule: non-coding RNA, 825 nt
Organism: Pimephales promelas (fathead minnow)
Lineage: Eukaryota; Metazoa; Chordata; Actinopteri; Cypriniformes; Leuciscidae
Source: RefSeq, a predicted model, not a curated record
UCUUUCUCCUCAUUCGCUUUGGGCAGAACAGAAGUUAGAAAUGCGUGAGCAGUGAUGUACUGUUUGUGAACAUCCGUCCACUGAUGAGAGCAGUGUUUACAGGAAUACAGUAAUAUGUGCUUUCCUGUCUAUAACAGAAUAAACACACAAACACAGUGGAGAGGAACCAGCCGUUCAGCAGUGUGUGGUGUUGCGCCGUGACACACCCGAGUAGACGUGUUCCUGUCCAGGAUGAGGGAGAAAGUGAAGCCACUGAACAGGACUGAAGGAGCAGCAGUGCUUUAUCCUAUGAUCCAGGUUUCAGUCAAAGACUAAACGUUAAAUUUGAACUGACUGGCAAACGCUGGAAGGAAGUCACUGGAUUAAUCGACGUGAAGUCAACAGAUUUGACGCAGAGGCCCCAUGAAAAUACACGACUGAUACGUCACUGUACUGACAGAUUUUAAAGACAUCAAGUUGUGUUUGUGUCGGACUCAUUUCAUGAGAGAGUGUCCUAACAGGGGAACCUAAUGCAUAUGAGUGUUUUGCAUGAUUGCGAUGCCACAGUUUUGCACUGAAGCGCUCCAGGAUUGCGAUGGCGUCUCCUUCUCAACAGUUUGCAGAGGCAUCGACUCAUGACUAUUCAUCAGCACUCGGAUGUCGCCAGAAUAUUCAAAUUACACCGCUGAAAUCCGCCAAACCUCUUCAACACACUGAUCUCUCCUCACUUAUGGGAGCUUUUGUGUGUGUGUGUGUGUGUGUGUGUGUGUGUGUGUGUGUGUGUGUGUGUGUGAUAGAACAAAAGAGAUGGAGAAGCCUCCAACGGCUGUGCUCCGCCUCCAUCAG